Oncorhynchus keta (chum salmon) is the source of this 261-nucleotide long non-coding RNA. RefSeq lists it as uncharacterized. The transcript is spliced from 3 exons. The record is from RefSeq and is a predicted model, not a curated record. Lineage: Eukaryota; Metazoa; Chordata; Actinopteri; Salmoniformes; Salmonidae.
GCAAACUCGAGCGGAGGGAAUCACAGGAACCAUGACCCUGGACCCCAGGAUCCAGAGAAUCACAGGUACCACGACCCUGGACCCCAGGACCCAGAGAAUCACAGGUACCACGACCCUGGACCCCAGGACCCAGAGAAUCACAGGUACCAUGACCCUGGACCCCAGGACCCAGAGAAUCACAGGUACCAUGAGCCUGGACCCCAGGACCCAGAGAAUCACAGGAGCCAUGAUCAGGAGGGUUGAUGUAAGGAGUGGGAGACU